This 278-nucleotide small RNA is filed under the name Pan troglodytes (chimpanzee). RNAcentral's name for it is "Metazoan signal recognition particle RNA (ENSPTRG00000050103.1)". Lineage: Eukaryota; Metazoa; Chordata; Mammalia; Primates; Hominidae. The record is from RNAcentral.
GCCAGGCACAGUGGCAUGCACCUGUAGUACCUGCUACUUGGGAGGCUAAGGCAGGAGGACUGCUUGAUCCCAGGAGUUCAAGGCUGCAGUGAGCUGUGAUCGCACCACUGUACUCCUGCCUGGGUGACAGAGAAAGGUCCUGUCUCUAAAAAUAAAUAAUUUUUUUUCUUUUUGUUUUGAGAUGGAGUCUUACUCUGUCACCCAGGCAGGAGUACAGUUGUGUGAUCAUAGCUCACUGCAGCCUUGAACUCCUGGGAUCAAGCAAUCCUCCUGCCUUA